Long non-coding RNA from Solanum lycopersicum (tomato), 402 nucleotides. RefSeq lists it as uncharacterized. NCBI's taxonomy places the organism in Eukaryota, Viridiplantae, Streptophyta, Magnoliopsida, Solanales, Solanaceae. The record is from RefSeq and is a predicted model, not a curated record.
CCCAUGCAUGUAGCCAAAUUAAAUUAAUAUAUUUUUUUCAAUAACUCAACGCAUUACCACUUCUUUUAAUGAUGCCUUGUGAACCAGUGAGAACUCCAUAAGUAGAAAGCUUGACAAAAGCAAAAGAGAAAGCCUUAAAAAAUUAUCUUGAUCAGCUGCAAAACAUUGUACAUAGGGAGUAGUAAGAAGAUGAAAAGGGAUUUUAGCGUCGAUUUCUGAGAACUCCACGACCGUUGAUGGCAUUGAUGUAGUAGUGAUUGUCAAAGUGUGUCUCAUAACUUGAAGAAGGAAACAAUAAAACAACAGUACGAGAAGGUGAAGGAAAGAACUUCCAACUGAAACCACUAUAAUGUUGGAUCUCAUGUUAUGGAAUAUGACAACAAAGAAAUUAAGCUUGAGAAA